RNAcentral lists this transfer RNA (73 nucleotides) under Canis lupus familiaris (dog). It matches the Rfam family "tRNA". From Rfam's summary of the family: Transfer RNA (tRNA) molecules are approximately 80 nucleotides in length. Their secondary structure includes four short double-helical elements and three loops (D, anti-codon, and T loops). The record is from Rfam by way of RNAcentral. Lineage: Eukaryota; Metazoa; Chordata; Mammalia; Carnivora; Canidae. RNAcentral also lists the same sequence under 2 other names.
ACCUGGCUAGCUCAGUUGGUAGAGCAUGUGACUCUUGAUCUUGAGGUUGUGAGUCCAAUCCCCACACUGGGUG